GCCGGCGCCAGCUGGCCCCCUGCACGUCGUGGCUCAUCUCGGCGUCUUGAAGCUGCUUCUGGAGGUCGGAGACCUUCUGCGACCACUUCUGUUCAUCAUCAACCCGGGCCAAGAGCCGGGAUGAGUUUCCUUCUAGAUGGCCGAUCUUCCUCUUCGCGGCUGAUAGUUCCACCUUAAGGGCGCUGAUCCUAGCUUCUUGAGCCCAAAUUCGGUCGCUGGUGCUCU
Molecule: long non-coding RNA, 225 nt
Filed under: Elaeis guineensis (African oil palm)
Lineage: Eukaryota; Viridiplantae; Streptophyta; Magnoliopsida; Arecales; Arecaceae
Description: long non-coding RNA (EGUI_LNC013132)
Source: RNAcentral